Molecule: long non-coding RNA, 2088 nt
Organism: Octopus bimaculoides (California two-spot octopus)
Lineage: Eukaryota; Metazoa; Mollusca; Cephalopoda; Octopoda; Octopodidae
Source: RefSeq, a predicted model, not a curated record
UUGAUCACUUAUGACGUGUGUCUGUCUGCGAUUACAAAAUAACUUCCUAGAUAUUUGUUCUGAACGACAUUUCAUUGUAUGAUGUUAAAAAGGCCAAUAUUGUGGUUUACUCAAAAAUAAUUUGUUAUGCAUUAUUUUCUUUUAUUUUGUUGUUUUUGAAGACUAUCGAUGGUGUCUAAUCAAGGAGAUAUGCAACAAAUACCAAAACUGUUCUUAAAAUGUCAGUUAGAGAUGAAUUAAAUGCCAAGUAGAAUCGGUUAACGUCAUAAGUUUUCAACAACACCAUGAAUUUUCUUCAUACUACCCAAAACUCAUUAACAAAUAUAUUUUAUGGUUCAGUAAUCUUUCAAAAGACAUGAUACUGAUAUUUCAUAUUUAUAUUUAACAAUAAAACUUAGUUGGUGAUUAUUGGAAGUUUCGCUCACUUGGAUUAAGUAUCUUUUAUAUUUUCAGAGAUGCAAGACCAAUGAAUAAUGUCAACAGUUUCAGAAAACGAUUUCUUUAAAUACCAGUAACAAUAUUAUAUUUGUAUUUGCCGCAAGUAUCAAAGUGCCAAGACCGUAAAAUAACGCGAACAAAAAUUAACACUUACAAAACGCUCACGGACGAUUAUUUCUAUUGACUGAGCGCAGCUUAGGUGAAUGGCUAAAACUAUCGAUCCCGGAUGCCACAUUGUGACACCUUGGCAUAUUCUAUUCUAUCAUUCACCUUCGAUUCUACGUUGAACUUGUGAAUUUAAUUUGGUGGAUGAAAACUUUGUGGGAGCUAAGUCUAUCACAAGUGUUAAAAAUGUGAAAAUUGAGAAGCAAAAAAAGUCAUUCCCAAAGCAACAAGUAACCAGGAAUUAAACAAGCUUGAAACAACAACCAUUUACUUUGCUGUGAGUUGAAAAAGAAAACGAAAAAUAUCUCACGUAAAACUGUUCGGGAAUUUGUGAAAACUUUAAAAAAGAACAGACCUUUAAAGAACUUAUAAUGGAAACACGAAGCUAUCGAAAACUCGUGUACGUCACAACCUCUGUUAUCUCUCUUCUAAACCUGAAGAAUUGUGUCAAUAAGUUCCAUCAAUAUUUCUGAUGAAAGCGGAAAGAGGUAUGGUGAUAUGAGUCCAUGACCUAGUUUUCGAUCCGGUGUGAUGUUUUAUCAUAGUUACAUCAUUACUACAUUUGACAAUGCCACUUCGGUGUUACAAGUUUUAAUUCUAAACAACAUCGACAGCUUUCAAAGUUUAUGCCAAUGUACGAAAGCAUUACUGUAUUAAAAUGUUGGAGAAAUAAUUGAAUGUACCAACACGGAAGGAGAGAUAGCAAAGAAAAUAAAGACAACUCCAGUCAAGUGGCAGAAAACGUAUGACCAGGAAUUGAAUAUUUUACAGUGUUUUCUUACAUGACUCAAUGAUCUAUGCAGAGGCUACACUAGAUCUGAAACGUUUUUCAUGGAUUUACGUUUUUAUUGUAAUAUUAACUCUCCUUUCAAGAGAUGAAUAUGAUUUCUCUAAAGAAUAUAUGUGAAGGCCACAAAUUGCCAUGUCUGUAAGGUAUCAGAGAAUUGGAGAAAGGACAAACUUAUAUCCAAUUUCGUGCUUUCUGCAAUAAAAUGCAACAAAUAAUGCAAAUCAGAAAUAAGCUUGCUACUCUAAUUAGCAACAAAUAGUGUUUUGCUAAUUCGAAGGGCACUGUUCAAAACCUACGCAGUCACAGUAUAUCCUGUAAAUAGAUGCAUCAUUAACAAAAUCACCAGAAAUAGCCUACAACUCAAUGUUAAAUAUUUAUUCUUUAGAAUAUUUCAUGUCAUAGAUUAUGGUGUUUUCUUCGCUAAAAUCCAUUUAUCAACUUUUAAAGUGAAUAGUUUAGUAUCCAUACUGGAAACAAAUUCCGAGGAUUGAUAGAUUUUGAAUAAAUCCUGUUAUCAGCUGUUAUGCAUCUCAUAGCUGAGAGAACAAAAUUCAUAGAUAUAAGAAUUUUAACUUACAUUUAAAAUCUGUACACAUAGAACGGAAAAGGAAAAACAAUCAAGACCAAUAAGAAACACUAAUCGCUUUACGUUAAUGUCCACAAUGGAAAUUCUGCAAGAUGGUAUUGUAAACAAA